GGAAAAUCAAACUUAGCUGGUGAAUUUUAGGGCAAAUUUUAUCAAGUAUUUCAUUUGUGCAUUUCUUUUCUAAACGCUACUCUGCUCUCACUCAGGAAACAUCUUAACCCUAUUUUUCAAGCAUUUCAUCUUCCAGUUAUUUCUGUGUAGAUUCAAUCAUUGAAUCAAUCUAUGUAGAUUCGAUCUCUCUGAAAUUCCUUAUUUGUUCAUCUCAAUUAUCAUAUCAAAACUUCACAAAUCGAUUAUAUAACUUUUAGUUUACACUUGAUUUCGUUAUCCAUCGAUUGGUGUAUAGUUCAUCUAUCUCAGACCUGAAUUUGGGGAUUUGAAGAAGGAAAAGCAAGCAAGCACAUCUGAUUUCGAUUUUUUAGAGGUUUUGAAAGAAGUACACCUGAUCAGCAAUCUCUCAUAUUGCCAUAGAUACAGAUGAGACGGCUUCGAGCAAAUCUUGGCGUUAUUUCAAGAGCAGAUGGUGUAAAAUUGCGGGAACGACAAAUAUGACAGGGGCGGGAGAAAGGAUUGAUUAGCAUUUACAUAGUUGAACAUGCUGCGUUGCUGACUUAAAGUGCUAAGCAUUCCAGAAGUUUUACACUCUAUACACCAGUCGUCAACAUUACUUGCUCAAAGAACAACACUCGCAGUAUGACUCCUUUUAUGUAAGUUGAAAAGUUUUAUAAAAAAGUGGAAGAACAAGAUAACAAUGCGAGAUUUUAUGAACCAGUGUAUCGGCUAGAAGCAACCGAAUGAGAUAAUAACGAAAACAACAAUCAGUGAGUUACCUCAAGUGGAAAUCGGUGAGAGUUCAAAGCGUACUGCCGUCUAUAAUCACGCGUCGUGCCACCAGACUUCUUCGCAGCAAACAAGCAGGUUAACGAAGAGUGAAGGGGAGGUGAGAAGGAACUGUGUGUGAGGGUUUUUGUGAGAACGUGGCAGAGUGGGGGAUUUACGGAUUGAUUUAGAGUGAUGAGCGAAAUUCAAAGCUUGAUUUGGUUCGUUUGACUUUAGAUUGAAAAUUAUGCGUUUUAAUUUUAUAUAUAUUUAGUCACCUAUAUCUUUCCUAUAAUUCUUUGUUUCCUCAUAUACAAGAUCCUUUGAUGUCGUUUUAAAUGGAUCGGAUAUUGUAUUUUGAAAAAAACUAGUGGGGGUGACUUAAGCUGAUGUAAAAUCGUGUUUGUGAGUUGUACCAACUGCAUUGAAAGAUGUACUUUUUAUUUUAAUGUUUUUGCUAU
Molecule: long non-coding RNA, 1229 nt
Filed under: Helianthus annuus (common sunflower)
Lineage: Eukaryota; Viridiplantae; Streptophyta; Magnoliopsida; Asterales; Asteraceae
Source: RNAcentral